AUGAAUGGUGGGAAAAAAAAAACACAACCUCUCAUGAAACUCAAUACCUCCAAGUGGAAAAGGAAAAGAUAAAUAACAUUUAUAUGUGAUGUAAUUUAUAUUCCUUUAUUAGAAUGUUGUUAACUCUUGUUUUUUUUGUUGGGUUUCGUAUUUUCUAAGAAAUAAAAGUGUUGCCAUCAAACAUUUAUAUAUAUAUGUUGUUACUUUUAUAUUUGGGAAGCUUGAAACUGAGUCAUGAACCAAUUUCAAGCUAUACCUAUGGUUGCCUAUAGGUGCUCUUUACAUGGCUAAAAUCUCCCUCAUGAUACCACAAAUUGUCAAAAAGGUGACAAUUUGUUUUUAAUGGUUUUCUAAGUUGUAACGGUAACUCUUGUUAUAAAUGAAUACACUUCAUUUUCAUUAUUAAUAAUUUUUAUUUAUUGUUUUUUAUGGUAGAUAGAAGGUUGAAAACUGAAUUGAAUUGAAUUAUUUUGGUCCAUUAAUUAAAUCAAAGAUAAAAGGAAAUGGGGUUUGUAUAAAUGAGUCCAUUUGCACUCUUUUUCAAUUCAUCAAAAAGCAAUUUCAUAUUUUUGUGAGAUAUGAAAGUUGCAGAAAUGGGAGUUCCUUGCAGCCCAAAGCAGAGAACUUCUUGCAAUGUUGUUUUGGACUGAAGGGAGCUCCUAGUUCUUCGCUUUCAUCAUAUUUAUGUUUCAUCUCUUUCAAUUCAAAGGUGAUGAUUAGGUUCACCUUUAGAUUUGUAUAUUAUUUUUUAUUUAAUUUUUUUUUGGGUGCGUUUUUGCUUUCCUUAUUUUGCUAGAUGUAUAUUUACUUAGGCUAUUGCUAACCUUAUGGUCACAUAAUUUAAACCAUCUACAUCUACAAGUGAAAAUUCACACACAAUGUACCAUGUUAAAGCUAUUUUGUGUACAAUACCAUUACUGAACUAGUUAUUGUUGUAUAAGAAUAUUAUAAUACUAAUGGUGUUUCAAACUCAA
Molecule: non-coding RNA, 974 nt
Organism: Cicer arietinum (chickpea)
Lineage: Eukaryota; Viridiplantae; Streptophyta; Magnoliopsida; Fabales; Fabaceae
Source: RefSeq, a predicted model, not a curated record